GACGAACGCUGGCGGCGUGCCUAAUACAUGCAAGUCGAACGCUUCUUUCCUCCCGAGUGCUUGCACUCAAUUGGAAAGAGGAGUGGCGGACGGGUGAGUAACACGUGGGUAACCUACCCAUCAGAGGGGGAUAACACUUGGAAACAGGUGCUAAUACCGCAUAACAGUUUAUGCCGCAUUGCAUAAGAGUGAAAGGCGCUUUCGGGUGUCGCUGAUGGAUGGACCCGCGGUGCAUUAGCUAGUUGGUGAGGUAACGGCUCACCAAGGCCACGAUGCAUAGCCGACCUGAGAGGGUGAUCGGCCACACUGGGACUGAGACACGGCCCAGACUCCUACGGGAGGCAGCAGUAGGGAAUCUUCGGCAAUGGACGAAAGUCUGACCGAGCAACGCCGCGUGAGUGAAGAAGGUUUUCGGAUCGUAAAACUCUGUUGUUAGAGAAGAACAAGGACGUUAGUAACUGAACGUCCCCUGACGGUAUCUAACCAGAAAGCCACGGCUAACUACGUG
This 508-nucleotide ribosomal RNA is filed under the name uncultured bacterium. Its description in RNAcentral is "partial 16S ribosomal RNA". It matches the Rfam family "Bacterial small subunit ribosomal RNA", at positions 28 to 507 of the family's 1533-position model. The record is from RNAcentral.